UACGGAGGAUCCAAGCGUUAUCCGGAUUUAUCGGGUUUAAAGGGUGCGUAGGCGGCUUAUUAAGUCAGGGGUGAAAGACGGUGGCUCAACCAUCGCAGUGCCCUUGAUACUGAUGAGCUUGAAUACACUUGAGGUAGGCGGAAUGUGACAAGUAGCGGUGAAAUGCAUAGAUAUGUCACAGAACACCAAUUGCGAAGGCAGCUUACUAAGGUGCAAUUGACGCUGAGGCACGAAAGCGUGGGGAUCAAACAGG
Molecule: ribosomal RNA, 253 nt
Filed under: uncultured bacterium
Lineage: Bacteria
Description: partial 16S ribosomal RNA
Rfam family: Bacterial small subunit ribosomal RNA
Source: RNAcentral